Long non-coding RNA from Cyprinus carpio (common carp), 2416 nucleotides. The record is from Ensembl. Lineage: Eukaryota; Metazoa; Chordata; Actinopteri; Cypriniformes; Cyprinidae.
AUGUCCUGUCUCUUAAUGUUAUUCACUUCACAGUCAUCCAGUGCAGUGGUACAGCCAGUUCAGUCUCAGCAGAAGACAGGAGACGACUCUCAGCCUGACAAUCCACCAGGCCCUGCAGAAAAAGAGCACAACCACGUGCAAGCUAUUUCACCCUCUAAAAGCCCUAACAAGCCAGAUGAAAACAUUAUCUCUGUCAAGGCCUCUGACAAGGAUGUGGAGAGCGACUCGGGCUGUCCUGACGGUGGGCCUUCUUCAAUCCCCAACCAGGGUGAGACCACUGGACACAGUGUUGAUGCAGCUCCGGCAUCACCUCGUGAGCUCUCACCCCGAGCCAGUCGCAUCCCCAUCCGUGACCCGGACUCUCCAACCCGUAGGGGUUUUCCAGCUCCGCUUUCUCCGUCUCUGUCACUGUCAUGUGAGCACUUCCCCUCAGCGCUGCUACGUGACAAGUUCAUCUUCCCCACUGGUUCUCAAAGGUCAGACUGGCAGGUGGAGGAGCCACUCUCUCUGUCUUCCUCCUCAGGACCUGUGUCGAGCAAGAGUAAAAUACCAAGACCCAUGAGCCCCACACGAGUGCCGGAUCAGCUGUCUGCACGAUUUAUUCCACGGCCGCCACCAGGCAAACCGCCCCUUCGCACAGGUGGCGAGAACAGACGUAGACGCUACCGCAUUCGUGCUAGCAGCACUGGUGACACGGACCUCUUGGACAACCUCUCUCAGCUCAUGCAGGAGCGAGGAGGACUGGCCGCCAGCACCUCACGUUACCAGCGCACCACCGCCUCUUCUCUGCAGCGCUCGUUAAGCUCCUCGCCUUCCCGUUUUGAAGGGGUUCACAGCCAUUCACCAAGUAGCUGCUCAGCCUCCCCACCUCCUCGAAUCAGUGACUUAACAGUAAAUCACGGGUCAGGGUUCUUCCCCAGAGUCAGAGCAGGAAGUCCUGAGAGCAAAACCACAACCAAAAUGAGCAAAUAAAGAGAAAAGCUUGUAACAGAUGGCGUGAGUUGUCAGUAAUUUGACAACCGGUUUCAACAGUAGCGUUUGAUGAACUGUAGCGUUUUUACAAGUAGUGUUUUGAUAAGUAGAGCGAUAAAGGACCAGGUAUUUGCCGGUUGGUUGUGAUUACUUGAAAGCAUCAUGUUUUUUGGACAUUCUUGAAAAACUUGAAAUAUUAACAUGCUAAAUGUUCCAGUGACGCUGUGUAACUUUCUUCUAAACAAAUUGCCCAUUGCAUUUCAUUGCAAUCAGUUUUAUUUUUUAAUAUUAUAUAUAGUUUGUGCCAUAUAUUCUUUAUCUUUUUGCUAUGUAAAAGAUCGGUUUACUUUUUCAUGUUUUUUUUGCACUUUCUGAUUUACAUGCCUUACAUAUGUCAGAUUUUCAACAUUAUUAGUUACUAUCAGUGAGAACGUUUGAAAUCUGAAAACAAUGGGGCUGCACUUAGUAACUUAUUGUAUUCUGUCAAACAGAUGCAUGGUACUCUAGCCUUAUUUUUCUAUCAUUUUUCUGUUUUUCAGUCAUGAGUGAAAAAGUCUUUAUGGUUAAAUGCUCAUUUCAACAGAUAGCUGUCUAUACAGUGUAAUAUCAUUCAUGUAUAGUUACAUCUGGCACAAGCAAGCAUGUGUAUAUAUGUAUUUCAGGGAAUGUAUGUACUUUAAACUGUAUUAUCUAUAGAAUGUAUUUAUUUAUUUAUUGGAUGUGGUUAUGUACCUGAUGAUGUAGCUUUAUUACUUGCUACUGAGUGAAUUCGCCAUCACACUAAGGGUCAGCAACCUUGCAAUUGCCAAGUAUAAUCUCUUCCAUGCCUGCAAUAUCAUACUAACAAUCCCUGUAAAUAGUCCUAACGUCAGAAAGAAACUUACUGAUAUAUUGCAGUGAAACACUAUGGACCCUUUAAAUGAACUUGAUUCAAACACUAUAGUCCCAUUACCAUAUUACUUGAAUACAUCAGCAAGAUGCUGGCUGCUUAUGCCACGAUGCUUCUGCGGAUUUUGGGAUUGAAUUCUCCAUCAUGGCAUUUAUUGAAAGCUGCCUGAGGAGUGUGAGUCCCAUGUGAUGUACAAAGAAAGGGAUUGUAGCUACCGAGUCAUUACCACGACUUCAUUGUGUGCUGUGCAGCUAGAAUAGAUGUUUUGUUCUGGAUCGUCUAUUUUGUCCUCUGGAAGUACUUUUACUUUAAAAGCAUCAGUAUAGGCCCACAACUGUUGGUACGAUGGAUGGUUUAGCUUAAGAAUUGUACAUAACCUGAACUGUAUAUAGAUAUAAAUAUAUUAAGAAAAAGAAAUUCCACCUCAUGCUUCAUGUACUGUAUUUUGCUAACAAACAUUUCAAUCAUGCAAAAAAAAAAAGUUACCAUGUUGGAAUGUAUAUGUAUUCAUAUCAAUGGAAUAAAUAAGUACUCUUAAGUACUUGAUGCUUGAUA